Molecule: ribosomal RNA, 635 nt
Filed under: uncultured Comamonadaceae bacterium
Lineage: Bacteria; Pseudomonadati; Pseudomonadota; Betaproteobacteria; Burkholderiales; Comamonadaceae
Description: bacterial SSU rRNA
Rfam family: Bacterial small subunit ribosomal RNA
Source: RNAcentral
AAACUCAAAUGAAUUGACGGGGACCCGCACAAGCGGUGGAUGAUGUGGUUUAAUUCGAUGCAACGCGAAAAACCUUACCCACCUUUGACAUGUACGGAAUUUGCCAGAGAUGGCUUAGUGCUCGAAAGAGAACCGUAACACAGGUGCUGCAUGGCUGUCGUCAGCUCGUGUCGUGAGAUGUUGGGUUAAGUCCCGCAACGAGCGCAACCCUUGUCAUUAGUUGCUACGAAAGGGCACUCUAAUGAGACUGCCGGUGACAAACCGGAGGAAGGUGGGGAUGACGUCAAGUCCUCAUGGCCCUUAUAGGUGGGGCUACACACGUCAUACAAUGGCUGGUACAGAGGGUUGCCAACCCGCGAGGGGGAGCUAAUCCCAUAAAACCAGUCGUAGUCCGGAUCGCAGUCUGCAACUCGACUGCGUGAAGUCGGAAUCGCUAGUAAUCGCGGAUCAGAAUGUCGCGGUGAAUACGUUCCCGGGUCUUGUACACACCGCCCGUCACACCAUGGGAGCGGGUUCUGCCAGAAGUAGUUAGCCUAACCGCAAGGAGGGCGAUUACCACGGCAGGGUUCGUGACUGGGGUGAAGUCGUAACAAGGUAGCCGUAUCGGAAGGUGCGGCUGGAUCACCUCCUUUCUG